GAUGAACGCUGGCGGCGUGCCUCAAACAUGCAAGUCGAGCGAGGCUAUGAAUUACCGCAAGGUAAGGCAUAGCCUAGCGGCGAACGGGUGAGUAACACGUGGGUAACCUACCUGGAAGACAGGGAUAACGAUUCGAAAGGGUCGCUAAUACCUGAUAAUAUCCAUCUGCCGGAUGGCGGAGGGAAGAAAGGGGAAACCCGCUUUCAGAUGGGCCCGCGUCCCAUCAGCUAGUUGGUAAGGUAAAGGCUUACCAAGGCGACGACGGGUAGCCGGUCUGAGAGGAUGUACGGCCACACUGGGACUGAGAUACGGCCCAGACUCCUACGGGAGGCAGCAGUUGGGAAUCUUAGGCAAUGGACGAAAGUCUGACCUAGCGACGCCGCGUGAGGGAAGAAGGCCUUCGGGUUGUAAACCUCUGUCUGGGGGACGAGUAAGGACGGUACCCCGGAGGAAGCCCGGCUAACUACGUG
RNAcentral lists this ribosomal RNA (470 nucleotides) under uncultured bacterium. RNAcentral's name for it is "bacterial SSU rRNA". It matches the Rfam family "Bacterial small subunit ribosomal RNA", at positions 28 to 507 of the family's 1533-position model. The record is from RNAcentral.